Molecule: ribosomal RNA, 492 nt
Filed under: uncultured bacterium
Lineage: Bacteria
Description: partial 16S ribosomal RNA
Rfam family: Bacterial small subunit ribosomal RNA
Source: RNAcentral
GAUGAACGCUAGCUACAGGCUUAACACAUGCAAGUCGAGGGGAAACGGCAUUGAGUGCUUGCACUCUUUGGACGUCGACCGGCGCACGGGUGAGUAACGCGUAUCCAACCUUCCCAUUACUGUGGGAUAACCUGCCGAAAGGCAGACUAAUACCGCAUAGUCUUCGAUGACGGCAUCAGAUUUGAAGUAAAGAUUUAUCGGUAAUGGAUGGGGAUGCGUCUGAUUAGCUUGUUGGCGGGGUAGCGGCCCACCAAGGCUACGAUCAGUAGGGGUUCUGAGAGGAAGGUCCCCCACAUUGGAACUGAGACACGGUCCAAACUCCUACGGGAGGCAGCAGUGAGGAAUAUUGGUCAAUGGACGGAAGUCUGAACCAGCCAAGUAGCGUGCAGGAUGACGGCCCUAUGGGUUGUAAACUGCUUUUGUAUGGGGAUAAAGUUAGGGACGUGUCCCUAUUUGCAGGUACCAUACGAAUAAGGACCGGCUAAUUCCGUG